Aotus nancymaae (Ma's night monkey) is the source of this 112-nucleotide unclassified non-coding RNA. It matches the Rfam family "Y RNA". Rfam says of the family: Y RNAs are components of the Ro ribonucleoprotein particle (Ro RNP), in association with Ro60 and La proteins. The record is from Ensembl. Lineage: Eukaryota; Metazoa; Chordata; Mammalia; Primates; Aotidae.
GACUCCUCCAAAGGUGGUGAGUUAUGUCAAUUGAGUAUUCAUGGUCAGUUACAGAUGAAACCCCUUGUUGUUCUUUUUCUCCCCCCUCACUACUACACUUAACUAGUCUUAA